Molecule: ribosomal RNA, 615 nt
Filed under: Escherichia coli
Lineage: Bacteria; Pseudomonadati; Pseudomonadota; Gammaproteobacteria; Enterobacterales; Enterobacteriaceae
Description: partial 23S ribosomal RNA
Rfam family: Bacterial large subunit ribosomal RNA
Source: RNAcentral
ACUGCGAAUACCGGAGAAUGUUAUCACGGGAGACACACGGCGGGUGCUAACGUCCGUCGUGAAGAGGGAAACAACCCAGACCGCCAGCUAAGGUCCCAAAGUCAUGGUUAAGUGGGAAACGAUGUGGGAAGGCCCAGACAGCCAGGAUGUUGGCUUAGAAGCAGCCAUCAUUUAAAGAAAGCGUAAUAGCUCACUGGUCGAGUCGGCCUGCGCGGAAGAUGUAACGGGGCUAAACCAUGCACCGAAGCUGCGGCAGCGACGCUUAUGCGUUGUUGGGUAGGGGAGCGUUCUGUAAGCCUGCGAAGGUGUACUGUGAGGUAUGCUGGAGGUAUCAGAAGUGCGAAUGCUGACAUAAGUAACGAUAAAGCGGGUGAAAAGCCCGCUCGCCGGAAGACCAAGGGUUCCUGUCCAACGUUAAUCGGGGCAGGGUGAGUCGACCCCUAAGGCGAGGCCGAAAGGCGUAGUCGAUGGGAAACAGGUUAAUAUUCCUGUACUUGGUGUUACUGCGAAGGGGGGACGGAGAAGGCUAUGUUGGCCGGGCGACGGUUGUCCCGGUUUAAGCGUGUAGGCUGGUUUUCCAGGCAAAUCCGGAAAAUCAAGGCUGAGGCGUGAUGA